This is a long non-coding RNA of Ostrinia nubilalis (European corn borer), 289 nucleotides long. RefSeq lists it as uncharacterized. The transcript is spliced from 2 exons. The record is from RefSeq and is a predicted model, not a curated record. NCBI's taxonomy places the organism in Eukaryota, Metazoa, Arthropoda, Insecta, Lepidoptera, Crambidae.
UCAGUGGCAACACGUGUUUCAGGUGUCUAAGUGGAAAAAUCAAAUUCUAACGUAGUUUAUCUCAAAAACAAUCAAUUUUAAGCUUAGUUAUUUUAAUUAAUAAUAACAGGUGACGGAUUUAUCUGGUAAAACCGUACUCACACAAAUAAUUUUGCUUUUAAUUAGAAAUGUAAAUACUUUUGUUUUUUUUUAAACCCUGUUACACUCUGUCAAAGCUGUUUACGUGACAUUGGCGAAAUCAUGGUUCUCAAUACCAAGUCGUUGCCAUAAUAAAAGAAGAAGAAGAAUU